GCUGAAAUAACUUAGUUAGAAUGUGUGGUUGUUAAUCACAACAAGGUGGUUCAAGCCCUCCUUAUAGCA
Molecule: transfer RNA, 69 nt
Filed under: Ipomoea nil (Japanese morning glory)
Lineage: Eukaryota; Viridiplantae; Streptophyta; Magnoliopsida; Solanales; Convolvulaceae
Rfam family: tRNA
About the family: Transfer RNA (tRNA) molecules are approximately 80 nucleotides in length. Their secondary structure includes four short double-helical elements and three loops (D, anti-codon, and T loops). Further hydrogen bonds mediate the characteristic L-shaped molecular structure. tRNAs have two regions of fundamental functional importance: the anti-codon, which is responsible for specific mRNA codon recognition, and the 3' end, to which the tRNAs corresponding amino acid is attached (by aminoacyl-tRNA synthetases). tRNAs cope with the degeneracy of the genetic code in two manners: having more than one tRNA (with a specific anti-codon) for a particular amino acid; and 'wobble' base-pairing, i.e. permitting non-standard base-pairing at the 3rd anti-codon position.
Source: Rfam by way of RNAcentral